Molecule: transfer RNA, 89 nt
Filed under: Chrysotila carterae
Lineage: Eukaryota; Haptophyta; Isochrysidales; Isochrysidaceae
Description: tRNA-Tyr
Rfam family: tRNA
About the family: Transfer RNA (tRNA) molecules are approximately 80 nucleotides in length.
Source: RNAcentral
AAGAGAAUUAACUAAAUUGGUUUAGUUGGUAGAUUGUAAAUCUAUUGUUAUGCUUUCAUAACUAGUAAGUUCGACUCUUACUUCUCUUA